UACGGGGGGGGGCAAGCGUUGUUCGGAAUUACUGGGCGUAAAGCGCGCGUAGGCGGCUUUGUAAGUUAGAGGUGAAAGCCCGGAGCUCAACUCCGGAAUUGCCUUUAAGACUGCAUCGCUAGAAUCAUGGAGAGGUGAGUGGAAUUCCGAGUGUAGAGGUGAAAUUCGUAGAUAUUCGGAAGAACACCAGUGGCGAAGGCGACUCACUGGGACGUUACUGACGCUGAGACGCGAAAGCGUGGGGAGCAAACAGG
Molecule: ribosomal RNA, 254 nt
Filed under: uncultured bacterium
Lineage: Bacteria
Description: partial 16S ribosomal RNA
Rfam family: Bacterial small subunit ribosomal RNA
Source: RNAcentral